Molecule: non-coding RNA, 45 nt
Organism: Schistosoma mansoni
Lineage: Eukaryota; Metazoa; Platyhelminthes; Trematoda; Strigeidida; Schistosomatidae
Source: Rfam
AUCCAUCUGACGAGUCCCAAAUGGGACGAAACGUGCGUCCUGGAU